This 420-nucleotide ribosomal RNA is filed under the name Triticum aestivum (bread wheat). RNAcentral's name for it is "partial small subunit ribosomal RNA". The record is from RNAcentral. Lineage: Eukaryota; Viridiplantae; Streptophyta; Magnoliopsida; Poales; Poaceae.
AUGCGUGGCUUCCUGAGCUGCAACAAUGAAGUGCGCACCGGCUGCGACGGUGACCGCGGAGAGUUGCCGACGGGGCCGGCGCUGCAACUCGAUGUGGAUUUGAAGCUGUUGGGAGCACGCGGAGUUGAAAUGGAGCAACGCCAUGCCGCCGGAAGCAUAGCCGGGGCUGCAAUGGAGCUUUGCCGGAGUUGUAAUGGAGCUUUGCCGGACGCGGUCGGUGCUGCGUUGGAGCUGCAAUGGAGCUUUGCCGGACGCCUGGCCAUUGGUGCUCCGGUCGAGCUAUGGUCGCGCUCGUACUAUGCUGCAGUGGAGCUUUGUCGAGGAAAGCAGCGCUGCAUUGAAGCUGGUAGCGCUGCUGCCGUGGCAUGCUGCAUCGGAGGACCACCAGCGCGCAUAUCCGACGUUUGUCCAGGCGGAUGA